Eubalaena glacialis (North Atlantic right whale) is the source of this 187-nucleotide long non-coding RNA. RefSeq lists it as uncharacterized. NCBI's taxonomy places the organism in Eukaryota, Metazoa, Chordata, Mammalia, Artiodactyla, Balaenidae. The transcript is spliced from 3 exons. The record is from RefSeq and is a predicted model, not a curated record.
AGAGAAGCCCUGUGGCUGAUGAGAGGUAUCUUUGAGAAAUAAUAUCUCCUGUGGAGGAUAAAUGAAGCAGCAUGGAUGGACCUAGAGAUUAUCAUACUAAGUGAAGCAACAUGGAUGGUCCUAGAAAUUAUCAUACUAAGUGAAGCAACAUGGAUGGUCCUAGAAAUUAUCAUACUAAGUGAAGUAA